Callithrix jacchus (white-tufted-ear marmoset) is the source of this 111-nucleotide Y RNA. It matches the Rfam family "Y RNA". Rfam says of the family: Y RNAs are components of the Ro ribonucleoprotein particle (Ro RNP), in association with Ro60 and La proteins. The Y RNAs and Ro60 and La proteins are well conserved, but the function of the Ro RNP is not known. In humans the RNA component can be one of four small RNAs -- hY1, hY3, hY4 and hY5. NCBI's taxonomy places the organism in Eukaryota, Metazoa, Chordata, Mammalia, Primates, Cebidae. The record is from Ensembl.
GGUUGGGCUGAAGGUAGUGAGUUAUAUCACUUGAUUGUUCAGUCAGUUACAGAUCGAACUCCUUGUUCUACUCUUUCCCCUCUUCUCACAACUGCACUUGACUAGUCUUAA